RNAcentral lists this ribosomal RNA (1022 nucleotides) under Serratia marcescens. RNAcentral's name for it is "partial 23S ribosomal RNA". It matches the Rfam family "Bacterial large subunit ribosomal RNA", at positions 1 to 1064 of the family's 2925-position model. The record is from RNAcentral. Lineage: Bacteria; Pseudomonadati; Pseudomonadota; Gammaproteobacteria; Enterobacterales; Yersiniaceae.
GGUUAAGUGACUAAGCGUACACGGUGGAUGCCUAGGCAGUCAGAGGCGAUGAAGGGCGUGCUAAUCUGCGAAAAGCGUCGGUAAGGUGAUAUGAACCGUUAUAACCGGCGAUACCCGAAUGGGGAAACCCAGUGUGUUUCGACACACUAUCAUGUCAUGAAUACAUAGUGGCAUGAGGCGAACCGGGGGAACUGAAACAUCUAAGUACCCCGAGGAAAAGAAAUCAACCGAGAUUCCCCCAGUAGCGGCGAGCGAACGGGGAGGAGCCCAGAACCUGAAUCGGCUUGUGUGUUAGUGGAAGCGUCUGGAAAGUCGCGCAGCAAAGGGUGAUAGCCCCGUACACUAAAAUGCACAGGUCGUGAGUUCGAUGAGUAGGGCGGGACACGUGACAUCCUGUCUGAAUAUGGGGGGACCAUCCUCCAAGGCUAAAUACUCCUGACUGACCGAUAGUGAACCAGUACCGUGAGGGAAAGGCGAAAAGAACCCCGGCGAGGGGAGUGAAAUAGAACCUGAAACCGUGUACGUACAAGCAGUGGGAGCACCUUCGUGGUGUGACUGCGUACCUUUUGUAUAAUGGGUCAGCGACUUAUAUUUUGUAGCAAGGUUAACCGUAUAGGGGAGCCGUAGGGAAACCGAGUCUUAACUGGGCGAAUAGUUGCAAGGUAUAGACCCGAAACCCGGUGAUCUAGCCAUGGGCAGGUUGAAGGUUGGGUAACACUAACUGGAGGACCGAACCGACUAAUGUUGAAAAAUUAGCGGAUGACUUGUGGCUGGGGGUGAAAGGCCAAUCAAACCGGGAGAUAGCUGGUUCUCCCCGAAAGCUAUUUAGGUAGCGCCUCGUGAACUCAUCUUCGGGGGUAGAGCACUGUUUCGGCUAGGGGGCCAUCCCGGCUUACCAAACCGAUGCAAACUCCGAAUACCGAAGAAUGUUAUCACGGGAGACACACGGCGGGUGCUAACGUCCGUCGUGAAGAGGGAAACAACCCAGACCGCCAGCUAAGGUCCCAAAGUCAUGGUUAAGU